CGAUGAUCUCCAGCUUGCUGGGGGGAUUAGUGGCGAACGGGUGAGUAACACGUGAGUAACCUGCCCUUGACUCUGGGAUAAGCCUGGGAAACUGGGUCUAAUACCGGAUAUGACCUUCCAUCGCAUGGUGGUUGGUGGAAAGCUUUUGUGGUUUUGGAUGGACUCGCGGCCUAUCAGCUUGUUGGUGGGGUAAUGGCCUACCAAGGCGACGACGGGUAGCCGGCCUGAGAGGGUGACCGGCCACACUGGGACUGAGACACGGCCCAGACUCCUACGGGAGGCAGCAGUGGGGAAUAUUGCACAAUGGGCGCAAGCCUGAUGCAGCGACGCCGCGUGAGGGAUGACGGCCUUCGGGUUGUAAACCUCUUUCAGUAGGGAAGAAGCGAAAGUGACGGUACCUGCAGAAGAAGCGCCGGCUAACUACGUGCCAGCAGCCGCGGUAAUACGUAGGGCGCAAGCGUUAUCCGGAAUUAUUGGGCGUAAAGAGCUCGUAGGCGGUUUGUCGCGUCUGCCGUGAAAGUCCGGGGCUCAACUCCGGAUCUGCGGUGGGUACGGGCAGACUAGAGUGAUGUAGGGGAGACUGGAAUUCCUGGUGUAGCGGUGAAAUGCGCAGAUAUCAGGAGGAACACCGAUGGCGAAGGCAGGUCUCUGGGCAUUAACUGACGCUGAGGAGCGAAAGCAUGGGGAGCGAACAGGAUUA
Molecule: ribosomal RNA, 700 nt
Filed under: Pseudarthrobacter sp.
Lineage: Bacteria; Bacillati; Actinomycetota; Actinomycetes; Micrococcales; Micrococcaceae
Description: bacterial SSU rRNA
Rfam family: Bacterial small subunit ribosomal RNA
Source: RNAcentral